Long non-coding RNA from Syzygium oleosum, 610 nucleotides. RefSeq lists it as uncharacterized. The transcript has 2 exons. The record is from RefSeq and is a predicted model, not a curated record. Lineage: Eukaryota; Viridiplantae; Streptophyta; Magnoliopsida; Myrtales; Myrtaceae.
CGCACAUGUAUUGACAAUUUACGAAAACCUUAUCAUCUCCUUCUCCUUCUCCUUAGCUCUCUUGUCCACUCUUCAUAGCGGCAAAGGAACGACUGUCGGGUAGUCUGCAGCUUCACAAACCUCGUGACGUCGAGAGAGUCGAAGCUCCUACGCCAAUCUCUACUCGGAUUCGCAAAGUAUUCAUGCUCUCUCUCCUACAAGAUAUGUCAUUCUACGGCUAAUCUUUCUUGUCGUAGUUGAUUCCGUGGUUCUCGAAUGCUGCCAUAGGAUUCUAUGGUCGGUCUGCAACCCCUUAGCUAAUUUUCUACUUAAGAUUUAGUUCUUAAAAUCGUUGACUAAGGCAUGCUACUUAUACUACGAAGUUGGUAUUGGGAGUUCGUUUUCUUUGGGUGGAGAGAGGUGAGAACAAGUCUGCAAUGAGCUCCUUUGCUCCUUUGCUCAUUCUUCUUGUCCUUUUUCCCUUGAUUUGCACAGGAUAAUCAUGAUGAACAUUUUUACUUGUAGUUAUGAUGAUUUCAGAAUGAUCCUUCCUUUCUAUUCCAAAUUCGUUUUCUCUUCCUUGCUGAUUAUGUAACAUGAAUAUCAGACUGGUGACAUUCCUGCUCUCUCA